AAAAUACUCAAUAUACAAUAUAAACAAACUAAAAAGGAGCUGGGUGUUUAGGACUUUAGAUUAAUUAAUACUUUCCCCACUUGACAUAAUAUGGAAUCAGUAGAGCUAAACAUGUAAAAUGUAUAUUUUUAAUGUACUUUUUAAAAAUAUGUUUUUAGAUUUGAGCCGGACUCACGAUGGACCGUUUAAAACAAAGAUCAAAAUCGAUGCAGCAGAACCAGAGAUAUCCUCUUUUUUAUUCCACACAUUCCUCUUCCCUGUCAAAACCCGGGGCCUACAUCACCCACAAUGCAACUCGACAGUUCAGUCAGAGACUUGGGUGUGCUAUGCUAGUAGUGGCUAAUGUAGCCCCGAACCGCUAGCCUCAAGCAGAGAUGAAGAUUUUCACGCUGACUCGAGUGACAUCACCUGAGGUGAUUCAUCAGACUUCGCAGCUCCCUCCGGAGCCACAAAAGGCUUUUCUACAACUUUUCCACGUAUGCAGUAGUACUCCCCAGACCUGAAAACAUCCUUUUAUGUGGAGAAACGGUGGAGUUCCAAGUCUUUCUUGUGACUGAAUGGACUGACCCUUUAAAACAGUAAAGGCACAUGAUAAAGGAGGGACUGAGUGACAUUAAGGAAUCUGAAAUCACUUCCAACAUGGCAGCUCCUGAUGACUCCACCUACCUCCCCAGCAUGUCUAAAUUGGUUGACACCACCAGUAAACAGGAAGUUAACUUUGAUUGUUAUAGACCUUUGUUAAUCUGACAUAAUAGGAACAUUCUCUUCAACAUUUUUUGAUUUGAUGCUGAUGUGAGAAUGUUGUUACUUCACUAUGAAGGUGAGAAAUUCAAAAUAAUACACUUUGUAACAAGUCUUUUUUUGUUGCCUGUGGUUUUCUUCAUCAACCAAGACACCGCAGGACAUGGUGAAGUACUUGGUGUACGAGGAGUGCCUGCUUGAGCUUUUUAAAAUCUGCCCAACCUGCUCAAGAGUCUGCAAGCACUCACCAAGAAGGUGGAUGCCGUCUCCAAGGAGAAGGACUGCACCAAAUCAAAAUGUGGCAAAAGAGCAUCAAAAAUCACCUCUACUGCGGCAUCCAGAAUGUGCAUGUCCAUGAAAAUCCACUCUUCCCCAAGUGCCUCCACCCUCCUUCCACUGACAAAAACAAGUGGCUGAAGGCCAGUAUGCCACUAUUCAAUAGCAAUUAUGUCAUUUAAUUAGAAUCCUGUAAUAUACUCUCAGCUGCUUUGCAUUCAUCAUCAUCUUUUAUGUAUUUGUUAUUCUCUGUCCCCCUCUAGCAACAAAGGCCACCUACAAGCUGGAGAAGGUGCUAAUGAACAAUCGUGUUCUUGGUGAUGUGAAAAAGCUGAGCCCUCUCUACCAAACAUCUGCCUUGGAGGGGUUCCACAUGAUUCUGCGGUUCCACCAAAAAACGUGGCCUUCUCAUACCUGGGGAUGCUCUGCAGACUUUACCUGGCCGAACUGCAUUUCAGUGAAAAUUCUGGCCGUACCCAAGCGAGGGCUGCAGCAGGAGAACUGCAGUUCUAAAUAAAAUUUACCAAGGCCAAGAGAGGGGAACAUGUUGUGUCCAUAGUCAAGACCAAAUAUACUACUGCUUAGUUAAUUCUCAAUUGUCUGUUGGUAUCUCCAUACUAAUAUAUGCAUGAUUCCAAACACAUGUGCCCCGCUGGUGAGAUUUUGGCACCACCUGAGUGACAAGGUGUAGUACAUUUGCCAGUGUGCCUAGCAGUAAACACAACAUUUCUAUUGCAGUUACUUUGGUAACAGUUUGUCAGCAGUUGAGUCCAUAUGAAUGACUCAAACGAUAUGCUAUGUUAUGUGCUCUCUCCUGUAUAUUAGAGAAUGUGACUGAGCCGACGGACCUGUCUGUGUCACUGCCUGUGGUGUUGUAAACUGUCUAUUUUAUAUUUGAAUAGGCCCUGUAGUAACGUAGGCCGCUGUGUCUAUUUUACGUUUCAAGUAUAUGAGUAUAUGAGUUCAAGAUGGCGUCAAAGAUGGCUGCCUCUGUGUUUUGGUGCGCAUUGUUUUGUCUUGUUUUGCUUGUAAAUUCAGUUUUCUGCUGUGAUACCCGGAGCUCUUUCACCAGAGAAGAGCUCCAGAACAUCAGGCGAACUAUACCAGCGGACUUAUUUCCCACUUUUCUGCUUCCAUCAGUGGAAUUAUUAGACAUUCUGGUCAAAGGUGCUCUCACCCUUGCUCAUGCAGUGAAACGACGAAGGCCGACAUCGCACACCGUUACUGGGAAUAUUUCUCUCCAAUGUGCGCUCACUGUGCAUUAAACUGGAUGAACUUCAGCUAAUGGUCAGGGAAAAACAGACUUUAAUUCAUCUUGCGUUUUAUGCUUUACGGAGACGUGGUUGUGUGGAUCGAUACCAGACGCUACGCUGCAGCUGGCAGGCUUCCAACUCUUCAGAGGGGAUCGCAACACAGCAUUUUCUGGCAAAACAAAAAGGUGGAGGCAUCUGUUGUUACAUCAACAGUGGCUGGUGUAGACGUGACAGUGAUUCAACAGCACUGUUCUCCUGAGCUGGAAUAUUUAUUCAUAAACUCUAAACCCUUCUACUCCCCCAGUGAGUUUGUUUCAUUCAUUCUGGUCGGUGUUUACAUUCCACUGCAGGCUAACGUGCAGGACGCACAGCGCAUGCUCGCCGACCAGAUACUGUGUGUGGAGCGGACAAACCUGGACUCCUUAGUUAUUGUCCUCAGUGACUUUAACAAGGGAAAUCUCAGCCAUGAACUCCCCAAAUACAGACAGUUUGCCCGACCAGAGAGGAGAAUAUUCUGGAUCACUGUUACACUACUGUAAGCAGUGCCUAUCACACCGUCCCCCCGCGCUGCACUGGGCCACUCUGACCACAUCAUGGUCCACCUGAAAUUAAAGCUCUGUAAACCUGUUGUGAGGACAACAAAGCAGUGGACCAGUGAAGCUACGAGGACCUUCGGGCGUGCUUGGACUGUAGUGACUGGGAUGUUUUCAGGACUGAUACCAACAGUCUGGAUGAGUUCACAGAGACUGCUGUGUACCAUCGCACACCAGGGUGGGUUCUAACAAUGACAAACCCUGGUUCACAGCUAAACUCAGACAGCUAAGGUCGGAAAAGGAUGAGGCGUUCAGGAGUGGAGACAGGAACAGGUUUAGCAAGGCGGUGAGAGAAGCUAAACGACUGUACUCUGAGAGACUACACCACCAGUUCACAGCCAACGACUCUGCUUCUGUCUGGAGGGGGCUCAGACAGAUCACCAACUACAAACCUAAGCCCCCCACUCCAUUAAUUACUUGCGCCUGGCCAACCAACUGAAUGAGUUCUACUGUUGAUUUGAAAGACAAUGGGACAGUCCUGACACCAUCCCCCGCGACCCCAUCCAUACUGAGCCGUUCAUGAAUCGAUGCAUGUAGAUGCUGCACCUGUUCUGGCAAUGCCCCUACACAAAUACAAAUUUUGCAAAGAUGUAUCCCGGUAUACUGCUGAUAACAUUGACUCUGAAUUUUCUCUUUACUGGCAAAAUGUACUUUUUGGUAUCUACAAUAGUAAAAAAAUGUACUAUAUAUAAUUAAUUUGAUGUUUAUUUUAGCAAAGUAUCAUAUUCAUAAAUCCAAAUUCAACUUCAACAAUUUUAACUAAAAACAUAAAGCUGCAAAAAAAACAUUUAUUUGUGUUCUUUGUUUGUUUUCACUCAAAAGAUUCCCCUGGCUCUGAUGUCGUUUUGUCUGUAAUAAUGACUUCUUUGUUUGUACGUGAUUUCUAUUGUCAAAGAUUUAAAUAAUAAAAGAAAAAGAUGUUUUUUUAGCCAUUGUGAGGACAGAAAAAAGGACAAAGCAUGUUUGAGCAGGAGCAGUUUUGUUAUCAAUAACAUUCAACACCUCAAAGGUCCUGUAAAACAUUUUGCUGUCAAAUGGUGAGGUCUUUUCCUUUCAUUAAAUAUCUAAACAAUAUCUGCUGAU
Long non-coding RNA from Siniperca chuatsi (mandarin fish), 3946 nucleotides. RefSeq lists it as uncharacterized. The record is from RefSeq and is a predicted model, not a curated record. Lineage: Eukaryota; Metazoa; Chordata; Actinopteri; Centrarchiformes; Sinipercidae. The transcript has 5 exons.